Molecule: ribosomal RNA, 384 nt
Filed under: Ichthyosporidium giganteum
Lineage: Eukaryota; Fungi; Microsporidia; Nosematidae
Description: eukaryotic LSU rRNA
Rfam family: Archaeal large subunit ribosomal RNA
Source: RNAcentral
UUUGGCUCGCGGGACGAAUAAGGGCGCAGCGGAGGCGUAAGGUCGUGGAGCAGCAGCGAUGACAGCACGUGCCUGAAACAGCGAUAGCAUGACGACCCCUUUGAAUUAAGCAUAUGAGUAAAGGGAGGAAAAGAAACUAACAAGGAGUUCCUCAGUAGCGGCGAGCGAAGAAGGAAGAGCCCCGAGUUAAUCACGAGAGUAGAUGUCAGUAUGCCGAGAAACGGUGUUGAAUCACCGGCCAGUGAGAGUGAUAGCCUCGUAAGGACGGAACGUGGGAGUAGCAGUGUUUGGUAUUGCACUGUGAACNGGUGCUGCGCCCAUCCAAGGCUAAAUACGGCGCGAGACCGAUAGUGGAUAAGUAGAGCGAUCGAAAAUGAAUAAACU